RNAcentral lists this long non-coding RNA (625 nucleotides) under Heterocephalus glaber (naked mole-rat). RNAcentral describes it as "lncRNA (ENSHGLG00100044703.1)". The record is from RNAcentral. Lineage: Eukaryota; Metazoa; Chordata; Mammalia; Rodentia; Bathyergidae.
AGGCUCUGGGAGCUGCAAGGAGAGAGCAAGGUCAGUUGGAUCCGUUGUCAGGAAAGAAUCUGUGUCAGGUAGAGGAGGUGCAGAUAGGGGAGAAAGGAUAAGGGUUUGAGAGGCAUCAACAGAUGCAUAAAAACAAAGAAAAAAUGGUGCAUAAAGUGGGAAUGUGUCAAAGUAUAAAGAAUGCCUGUACAUAGGGAACUUCGGACCAUUUUCUCAACCUCUGGCAGUAGCUGUCUAAGUCUCACAGGAUGCAGAAAUCAAAAGUGCCAUUCUCUGGCCACUGAGAGCCAUUUUCUGGUUUGUAUUAUGGCCAUGCAGUGUUACAGAAGAAAAUCAGAUGUUUAGGCUUCAGAUCAGGGUAUAGAUGGAGAGAUUUCAGAUUCUUUAAGAGUCAGGCUAGAGAAGAAGAAGGAGGAAUAGAAGAAUGAACAUUUCCUAUUGGAGCAGAGAGAGAGGAUUGUCAUGCCCUGUGUGACAAAGACCAGCAACAGGGUCAACAAUGGGAUAUCUCCAGCUGUGACCCAGGCUGUGACUGAACAUGGGUCCCGCCCCAUGCACUCCCCAGGCCUAGGACCCGCACGAAGGAGACACCUGCGUUUCAGGGAUCUCCCGAAGCUGACGGAGG